RNAcentral lists this ribosomal RNA (440 nucleotides) under uncultured bacterium. RNAcentral describes it as "partial 16S ribosomal RNA". It matches the Rfam family "Bacterial small subunit ribosomal RNA", at positions 338 to 795 of the family's 1533-position model. The record is from RNAcentral.
CCUACGGGUGGCAGCAGUGGGGAAUAUUGCGCAAUGGGCGAAAGCCUGACGCAGCGACGCCGCGUGUAUGAUGAAGGUUUUCGGAUUGUAAACUCCUUUUGUUAGAGAAGAUAAUGACAGUAUCUAACGAAUAAGCACCGGCUAACUCCGUGCCAGCAGCCGCGGUAAUACGGAGGGUGCAAGCGUUACUCGGAAUCACUGGGCGUAAAGAGCGCGGAGGCGGGAUAGCAAGUCAGAUGUGAAAUCCUAGGGCUUAACCAUAGAACUGCAUUUGAAACUGUUAGUCUAGAGUAUGGGAGAGGUAGGUGGAAUUCUUGGUGUAGGGGUGAAAUCCGUAGAGAUCAAGAGGAAUACUCAUUGCGAAGGCGACCUGCUAGAACAUAACUGACGCUGAUGCGCGAAAGCGUGGGGAGCAAACAGGAUUAGAUACCCUAGUAGUC